AGUGAACGCUGGCGGUAGGCCUAACACAUGCAAGUCGAACGGCAGCACAGUAAGAGCUUGCUCUUACGGGUGGCGAGUGGCGGACGGGUGAGGAAUACAUCGGAAUCUACUUUUUCGUGGGGGAUAACGUAGGGAAACUUACGCUAAUACCGCAUACGACCUACGGGUGAAAGCAGGGGAUCUUCGGACCUUGCGCGAUUGAAUGAGCCGAUGUCGGAUUAGCUAGUUGGCGGGGUAAAGGCCCACCAAGGCGACGAUCCGUAGCUGGUCUGAGAGGAUGAUCAGCCAGAAUGGAACUGAGACACGGUCCAGACUGCUGCGGGAGGCAGCAGUGGGGAAUAUUGGUCGAUGGGCACAAGCCUGAUACAGCCAUACCGCGUGGGUGAAGAAGGCCUUCGGGUUGUAAAGACCUUUUGUUGGGAAAGAAAAGCAGCAGGUUAAUACCCCGCUGUUCUGACGGAACCCAAAGAAUAAGCACCGGCUAACUUCGUG
RNAcentral lists this ribosomal RNA (492 nucleotides) under uncultured bacterium. RNAcentral describes it as "partial 16S ribosomal RNA". It matches the Rfam family "Bacterial small subunit ribosomal RNA", at positions 29 to 507 of the family's 1533-position model. The record is from RNAcentral.